This 253-nucleotide ribosomal RNA is filed under the name uncultured bacterium. RNAcentral's name for it is "partial 16S ribosomal RNA". It matches the Rfam family "Bacterial small subunit ribosomal RNA", at positions 524 to 776 of the family's 1533-position model. The record is from RNAcentral.
UACUAAGGGGGCUAGCGUUGCUCGGAAUCACUGGGCGUAAAGGGUGCGUAGGCGGGUCUUUAAGUCAGGGGUGAAAUCCUGGAGCUCAACUCCAGAACUGCCUUUGAUACUGAGGAUCUUGAGUUCGGGAGAGGUGAGUGGAACUGCGAGUGUAGAGGUGAAAUUCGUAGAUAUUCGCAAGAACACCAGUGGCGAAGGCGGCUCACUGGCCCGGUACUGACGCUGAGGUGCGAAAGCGUGGGGAGCAAACAGG